This 443-nucleotide ribosomal RNA is filed under the name uncultured bacterium. RNAcentral describes it as "partial 16S ribosomal RNA". It matches the Rfam family "Bacterial small subunit ribosomal RNA", at positions 338 to 795 of the family's 1533-position model. The record is from RNAcentral.
CCUACGGGUGGCAGCAGUGGGGAAUAUUGGGCAAUGGGCGCAAGCCUGACCCAGCAACGCCGCGUGAAGGAAGAAGGCUUUCGGGUUGUAAACUUCUUUUGUCAGGGACGAAGCAAGUGACGGUACCUGCCGAAUAAGCCACGGCUAACUACGUACCCGCAGCCGCGGGAAUACGUAGGUGGCAAGCGUUAUCCGGAUUUACUGGGUGUAAAGGGCGUGUAGGCGGGGAAGCAAGUCAGAUGUGAAAACCACGGGCUCAACCUGUGGCCUGCAUUUGAAACUGUUUUUCUUGAGUGCUGGAGCGGCAAUCGGAAUUCCGGGUGUAGCGGUGAAAUGCGUAGAUAUACGGAGGAACACCAGUGGCGAAGGCGGAUUGCUGGACAGUAACUGACGCUGAGGCGCGAAAGCGUGGGGAGCAAACAGGAUUAGAUACCCGAGUAGUC